This 207-nucleotide long non-coding RNA is filed under the name Vitis vinifera (wine grape). RNAcentral's name for it is "long non-coding RNA (VVIN_LNC001449)". Lineage: Eukaryota; Viridiplantae; Streptophyta; Magnoliopsida; Vitales; Vitaceae. The record is from RNAcentral.
ACAAAAACAGCUCCUCAAAUUGCAUCCAAACCAUCUUAGUUACAUCUUGAGUAGUCUUGAUCAUAUCCCACCAGUUGUCUGCUUCAUCCCUCAACAUGAAGAAAGUUAAAGAAACUCUCCUUUCCUCAGGCAUUGCCAUUACAUCCAGUAUUUUCAUUAUUUCUUUCAUCCAAUUCUCGGCUUCAAGAAAAUUAAGCCCACCCUGAA